AGUGAACGCUGGCGGUAGGCCUAACACAUGCAAGUCGAACGGCAGCACAGUAAGAGCUUGCUCUUACGGGUGGCGAGUGGCGGACGGGUGAGGAAUACAUCGGAGUCUACUUUUUCGUGGGGGAUAACGUAGGGAAACUUACGCUAAUACCGCAUACGACCUACGGGUGAAAGCAGGGGAUCUUCGGACCUUGCGCGAUUGAAUGAGCCGAUGUCGGAUUAGCUAGUUGGCGGGGUAAAGGCCCACCAAGGCGACGAUCCGUAGCUGGUCUGAGAGGAUGAUCAGCCACACUGGAACUGAGACACGGUCCAGACUCCUACGGGAGGCAGCAGUGGGGAAUAUUGGACAAUGGGCGCAAGCCUGAUCCAGCCAUACCGCGUGGGUGAAGAAGGCCUUCGGGUUGUAAAGCCCUGUUGUUGGGAAAGAAAAGAAGCAGGUUAAUCCCCCGCUGUUCUGACGGUACCCAAAGAAUAAGCACCGGCUAACUUCGUG
Molecule: ribosomal RNA, 492 nt
Filed under: uncultured bacterium
Lineage: Bacteria
Description: partial 16S ribosomal RNA
Rfam family: Bacterial small subunit ribosomal RNA
Source: RNAcentral